This 253-nucleotide ribosomal RNA is filed under the name uncultured bacterium. Its description in RNAcentral is "partial 16S ribosomal RNA". It matches the Rfam family "Bacterial small subunit ribosomal RNA", at positions 524 to 776 of the family's 1533-position model. The record is from RNAcentral.
UACGUAGGGGGCAAGCGUUGUCCGGAAUCAUUGGGCGUAAAGCGCGUGUAGGCGGCUCGGUAAGUCCGCUCUGAAAGUCCAGGGCUCAACCCUGGGAUGCCGGUGGAUACUGUCGGGCUAGAAUCCGGAAGAGGCGAGUGGAAUUCCUGGUGUAGCGGUGAAAUGCGCAGAUAUCAGGAGGAACACCGAUGGCGAAGGCAGCUCGCUGGGACGGUAUUGACGCUGAGACGCGAAAGCGUGGGGAGCAAACAGG